UAUAAGUUGUGCCAAACAUCAUUUUUAGUUUUCAUGCUUGACCAAAUACAUAAAUUCUAGAUAUUAAUUCAUAGUCUGAAUAUAAGGAAAAUCUCUUUCUUACCUGUAUAUUCUCUCGAGAAGGGUAAAGCUAGUGCAGUGAUAAGAGCUAUAUCACUGAGUCACUAGGUCACCGUUUGAAGCAGGCUCUCCAUAUUUGCGGUGAAAGGCUUGUCUUGGUUUAUCUUUUUCUCAGACCCCCACUCAUAUGGUUAUCUCUUUUCUAGACCUCACUCAUAUGGGAGCCUCUAGGGUCUGCCUGUAAAUUCUCUCUAAGUUUUCACUUACUGAAUGGUCUCUAAACAUUUUUAUUUUUAUUUUUUUUGCUUGCAAAUUGUUAGCGAAUUCACUGUGCACCGGUGGUAGCUGGAUGAUAGUGGCUUAAUGCCUUUACUGUUUAGUUGCUUAAAUACCUUUACUGCUCGGUAGCUUAAUGCUUUCAGUGCUCAAUGGCUGGAAGCCUUGGGCCUUGCCAUGGCCAACGCAUGGGAAUUCUCCCUGGCUGUCGGCUAGCCUUCCAGCUUCCUCCCCUCUUUACUUCUGUUCUGAACUCGCUCUUCGCUAUAUAUGUAAUCCUAUUCUCUAGACUUUAUCAAGGAAUAUAAUUCAGCUUCUUCGAGCUUUAUCACUAAUGGUUUGCUGAGUAAAGUACACGAACUUUGGUGUUGAGAGUGUACACCCACACAUCCCGCCAACAGAGCUAGGCUUGACAACAAGAUUCAGUCACCAUUCAGGAUUCAUAGUUUCAGAAAUCAGAACUUCAGUUUUCAGUGUCAUCAGCCUGUUGCUGGUUUUUCAUCAGUUUCAUCAGUGUUAAGUCUAUUUUCUGUUAGCUUGUUCUUCUCGAACUUGUAGCCGAGUUGGUUGAGCCCAUUUAGCGAUUGGGCACGUUUUUAGGGAGAUCAUGGUCAUGUGAAACUAGUGCUGAACUUAAGCUACGUGAUGGCACGGUUGGUUAGAAAAAACUCGACCGAUUUCAUGGGUCAAUAUAAUGUCUGUAAGUGUUCUCGUUUUGUGUAAUAUAGAUCAAGGGGUCAGAAAAGCGGUUUAAAACCGCACCAAACUUCUCUGUGUUCCACUGUCGUGUCUCGUGUUCUCGUUCUCAACUCCGGCGUCCACAUUCGGCAUUGGUCGGAACAAGGCUCAGUCUUCAAUUUAAAGUUUUAUAUACUUGAGAGUAUACAAAAUAGUUGAAUCCAUUCUAUUGGAGAGCGAAUGAACAGUAGUCACUACAGUAAACCCUAACCCUAACAGAUAUAUACCCCUAGUGGGCUGUGGGCUAGGCCCAUGUACACAGGUAGCUAACACAUUCUUCUUGGCCUAUUUUUUGCUUAUAAUGAAACCCUCUUGGCCUAUUUCUUAAAAGGAAAACUAAAAACUAUGCAAAAACUAUAUGUAUGUAAGUUGGACUAUGAGAAACAGGACAUUU
Long non-coding RNA from Zea mays, 1468 nucleotides. RefSeq lists it as uncharacterized. Lineage: Eukaryota; Viridiplantae; Streptophyta; Magnoliopsida; Poales; Poaceae. The record is from RefSeq and is a predicted model, not a curated record. The transcript has 2 exons.